CCUACGGGAGGCUGCAGUGGGGAAUAUUGCGCAAUGGGCGAAAGCCGGACGCAGCGACGCCGCGUGAGGGAUGAAGGUCUUAGGAUCGUAAACCUCUGUCAGCAGGGAAGCACGGUCACUGUGCUAAUCAGCAGUGAAUUGACGGUACCGGCAAAGGAAGCACCGGCUACAUCCGUGCCAGCAGCAGCGGUAAUACGGAGGGUGCGAGCGCUAAGCGUAAUAACUGGGCGUAAAGCGCUCGUAGGCGGUAUGUCAAGUCAAGGGUGAAAGCCCCGCGCUCAACGUGGGAACUGCCGUUGAAACUGGUAAACUGGAGUGUGUGAGAGGAUAGUGGAAUUCCAGGUGUAGGAGUGAAAUCCGUAGAUAUCUGGAGGAACAUCAGUGGCGAAGGCGACUAUCUGGCACAUAACUGACGCUGAGGAGCGAAAGCGUGGGUAGCAAACAGGAUUAGAUACCCCAGUAGUC
Molecule: ribosomal RNA, 465 nt
Filed under: uncultured bacterium
Lineage: Bacteria
Description: partial 16S ribosomal RNA
Rfam family: Bacterial small subunit ribosomal RNA
Source: RNAcentral